AUAAAAACGAUGACGAAGAGGAGUAGAUAGAGACGAGCCCUCUACAGAGAAGGAAGCCUUAGGCUGAGAGCUUCCGGGAAGGCGUUUAUCGAAGGUUGCUUUCGAGUUUUAUGCGAGAUAAUGAGGGCCCCGGAACCUGUGAGGAUAAAGGGGAAUAAAGGUGGUACCGCGGAAAGAUCCGUCCUUUGA
This 189-nucleotide non-coding RNA is filed under the name Bacillota bacterium. RNAcentral describes it as "Firmicutes bacterium T-box sequence". It matches the Rfam family "T-box leader". From Rfam's summary of the family: Uncharged tRNA acts as the effector for transcription antitermination of genes in the T-box leader family. T-boxes are found upstream of many aminoacyl-tRNA synthetase genes and some amino acid biosynthetic genes usually in Gram-positive bacteria. The anticodon of a specific tRNA base pairs to a specifier sequence within the T-box motif, and the NCCA acceptor tail of the tRNA base pairs to a conserved bulge in the T-box antiterminator hairpin. Lineage: Bacteria; Bacillati; Bacillota. The record is from RNAcentral.